AUUGAACGCUGGCGGAAUGCUUUACACAUGCAAGUCGAGCGGCAGCGCGGGGGCAACCCUGGCGGCGAGCGGCGAACGGGUGAGUAACAUAUCGGAACGUACCCAGUCGUGGGGGAUAACUAUCCGAAAGGAUAGCUAAUACCGCAUAUGCCCUGAGGGGGAAAGCGGGGGAUUCGCAAGAACCUCGCGUUUUCGGAGCGGCCGAUAUCGGAUUAGCUAGUAGGUGAGGUAAAGGCUCACCUAGGCGACGAUCCGUAGCUGGUCUGAGAGGACGACCCGCCACACUGGAACUGAGACACGGUCCAGACUCCUACGGGAGGCAGCAGUGGGGAAUUUUGGACAAUGGGGGCAACCCUGAUCCAGCCAUUCCGCGUGAGUGAAGAAGGCCUCGGUUGGUAAGACGUCUUCGUCCGGAGAAGUACGCACGGUAAGUACCCUGUGUGGAUGACGGUACCGG
RNAcentral lists this ribosomal RNA (457 nucleotides) under uncultured bacterium. Its description in RNAcentral is "bacterial SSU rRNA". It matches the Rfam family "Bacterial small subunit ribosomal RNA", at positions 29 to 481 of the family's 1533-position model. The record is from RNAcentral.